Non-coding RNA from Suricata suricatta (meerkat), 539 nucleotides. NCBI's taxonomy places the organism in Eukaryota, Metazoa, Chordata, Mammalia, Carnivora, Herpestidae. The record is from the annotation of a RefSeq genome assembly.
UGGUUCCCAGGGAGGAUGAGGUGAUUCAUCACUCACUUAGGACAAGAGCAGCCUCAUUUUCUCCCCAGCUUCAGGGGAAAUGAGCGCUCUGUUCUGUGGUUGCAAGAGGGAGGGGCCCCAGAGCCACAGCCCUGGCCCAGAUGAGCCCAGCCAUACUUGCUGAGCUGAGGCCCGCUUGAACUAUGCCCUGCUGUCUCCUUGCCCUUCUCCUGGGCACUUUCUUAGGUGUCAGUGCUCAGACCAUCCACCAAUGGCCGCCCUUCAGGGUGCUGCUUGCGGGCAGCCAGCUCUCCCUGGAGUGCACCGUGAAGGGGACAUCAAACCCUUAUCUGUAUUGGUACCAUCAGGCCAAAGGGGCCCCCCCGCAGCUGCUCUUCUACUCCCUAAGUAAGAAUCAGAUAGACUCUGAGGUACCGCAGAACUUCACAGCCUCCAGGCCCGAGGACGACCAGUUCAUCCUGAGCUCUCAGAAGCUCCUUCUCAGUGACUCAGGCUUCUACCUCUGCGCCUGGAGCCUCACACUGAGCUGGGGGAGGUAG